Molecule: unclassified non-coding RNA, 433 nt
Filed under: soil metagenome
Description: partial contains 5.8S ribosomal RNA, internal transcribed spacer 2, and large subunit ribosomal RNA
Rfam family: 5.8S ribosomal RNA (bases 1-120)
Source: RNAcentral
GAUGAAGAACGUAGCGAAAUGCGAUACGUAAUGUGAAUUGCAGAAUUCAGUGAAUCAUCGAAUCUUUGAACGCAUAUUGCGCUCUCUGGUAUUCCGGAGAGCAUGCUUGUUUGAGUAUCAGUAAACACCUCAACUUCCAUAUCUUUUUUUGAAAUGGGAGUUGGACUUGAGUGAUCCCAACGCUUUUCCUCACCGAAAAGUGGCGGGUUACUUGAAAUGCAGGUGCAGCUGGACUUUUCUGUGAGCUAUAAGCAUAUCUAUUUAGUCUGCCUAAAAAACAGAUUAUUACCUUUGCUGCAGCUAACAUAAAGGAGAUUAGUUCUUGUGCUGACUGAUGCAGGAUUCACAAAGACAGCUUCGGCCGACUUUGUAAACUCGAUCUCAAAUCAAGUAAGACUACCCGCUGAACUUAAGCAUAUCAAUAAGCGGAGGA